CCGGCCGCGGUUUGGCUGGGGCUGGUGGCUCCCGGAGGGGCUGCGGGGCUAAUCCGGGCUAAUCCUGCACUGGCCCCGUGCCCGGGCGGGGGCACCUUCCCCCAGCCAGCCCCCCCCCGGCCCCCCAGCCCGGCCGACUGGUGCCAGCUGCCUUCAUAAGGGACGGGGCCCAGCCUGGCCUCAUCACCCCUGGGCUGCCACCCCCCGACAUCCCCGGGGACGAUGAAGCUCUGGGCUCUCCUGGCGCUGGCAGGGCUCGCCUGCAGCCUGGCUGCUGGCUUGCCGACCGACGUGACGCCUUCCGCGGGCACCGAUGCCGUGGGAAGGGACCGGGCUUCCGAAGGAGCGCUGGUGGACGCCACCGACCUGCUGGAGCGCCUCCUGAGGUCCCUGGGGGACACCCUGGCGGGGGCGGUGCGGCUGAUUUUUGGGGGCAAAAAGGGUG
Molecule: long non-coding RNA, 445 nt
Organism: Cygnus olor (mute swan)
Lineage: Eukaryota; Metazoa; Chordata; Aves; Anseriformes; Anatidae
Exons: 3
Source: RefSeq, a predicted model, not a curated record